ACAAUUAAAAAUUUCCAGGGUGCUUAUUAAAGUUAAAAGGAAAUUCCGUUAAAAUCGGAAACGAGCCCGUCGCUGUAAGUGGGGAUGAAAAUUGCAAAAUGCCACUGUCUAAUUAAGAUGGGAAGGUGCAAUUACUAAGAUGAUCCACAAGUCAGAAAACCUGCCCUGUUAAAAUAUUCUGC
RNAcentral lists this non-coding RNA (182 nucleotides) under Desulfobacteraceae bacterium. Lineage: Bacteria; Pseudomonadati; Thermodesulfobacteriota; Desulfobacteria; Desulfobacterales; Desulfobacteraceae. The record is from RNAcentral.